This is a long non-coding RNA of Tympanuchus pallidicinctus (lesser prairie-chicken), 1699 nucleotides long. RefSeq lists it as uncharacterized. The record is from RefSeq and is a predicted model, not a curated record. The transcript has 2 exons. NCBI's taxonomy places the organism in Eukaryota, Metazoa, Chordata, Aves, Galliformes, Phasianidae.
GGAAAAAAUUCUUUGUUCAGAGUGCAGCGAAGCACUGGCGCAGCUGCCCAGAGAGUCUGUGAAUACCCAUCCCUGGAGGGGCUCAGUGCCAGCCAGUCUUUCACAUGUUCAAAAGAUCGUCGAUUGGUGAUGUCGAAGACCAGCAAGCCGCCGACAGAAUUGCGAUAGUAAGAUCGUGUUAUUGAUCUGCAGAGAAAAAAACAAGGAACAGAAGAGGGAAAUUAAAAUACAUCUUCACUUCAUUUGGAAACAGGAUACUUUUCCACUGGGCAGUUUUGUUAAAUCUACUGUAAGUUUAUGAAAUAUCUUUGCUGUUUUUGAAAUUGAUUGGAAUUUAUUAACUUUUCCACACUUAAAUGCUCAUUUUUCAUUUUUUCUUAUAUGCAAAAGUCAUUUUCUAAACAUUCUUGAAGUCAGCAUUUUGGGUGCCAAUUUUGAAUGCUGAGUAUUCUGAAAACACUCUUUGUUAGCAAACUGUUGCACGUGUUCACGAAAUAGUACUUAUAUAUAUUUUGUCAAAUGCUUGUUAGCUUUAACCUUCGACUCAUCCAGUUUCACACAAACAUUCAUUUAUCUUCGUUCUAAUCGGUUAUUUCAAAAUAAAAUAUUUAGGCUAAUGUCCACAAACCUGAAUCCUUUUGUAUUCCUUAUGGACAAAUUGUUUGACCACAAGAACUGUACAGGUAAUCCCUGUUAUUUGUGCUUGCAGCGGUCAUCAGGUAACAUACUAAGAAAGGAAAUUCCCCAGCAGCACUACACAAAAUUGGCUGAGCUGGGCACAAACUUUUUACAGCAUGGACAAAACAAAUUCUGCUUCCAGCAGAUCUUUCAUGUGAAGGUUGAAAAGCUCUUUAUUAAUUGCAUUUACUCUUUUUUUGGCAGGAAACUCCCAAGAGUAGUGAUGUUUUCUACUUUUCAGCUCACUCUGUUCCAGACCAUUCACUAGAAUUAAUUUUGGAAGGAGAUCCUUUCUCUGAAAAGAUUUUGAAUAUGUUCUAGAAGGGAAAAAAAAAAAAAAAGAAGAAGAAAAAAAAAAGAUUUUAGGUCUCUAAUCACCUUAGGAAGAGACAUUUUAAAGAACAUGAUUGGCUACCUAGGACUGGACGCAAACAUUAGUUACAUAAACAUACAGCAAGGUGUAUGUGUACGUUUUUCCAACUGAAAUGGGACAGAAAAUCUAUAUGGACAGUCAUUUUUGAAAUAAUAAUAUAUUCAAGAAUGAACCAUUUUAUCAUAUGAUUACGGAGAGAGUGCAGCUCCAGAACAUUUUGAAUUGGGAUUAACUCUACACAACAACAAAUACCUGCCAUUAAAGGAGCUCCCUCUCAUUUUCAAUUAAUCACAUCUCAUGCGUUUUCUAACAGUUUGAACACUGAAGUAUAAUUAGGAGCAGUAGUCACGUUACAGAUAGCCCACAGAUAAGGCUUAGAUUUCUCAACAUAACUUCAUUUAGUCACAGCAAACUGCAUUUGCAAUUGUUUUAUUUAGGUAAUAGGGAGGGUUUGUUUUCCAAAUAUUUCAGAAAGAUCUUUUCUGCAUUCCCAGCAACAGUCCAUGGAGCAGGUCUGCAAAGAGUCUGAAUGUGAACACAACAAGAGCUUACCCUCAGAUUGAUUCCAACAGCCUGGAUAUGAAAAGUGACCAUAAAUAAAGGGUGUUGUAUUUUGUGAAGUAUUGAAUAAAGAUACCACAAAGAUCA